CCUACGGGUGGCAGCAUUGGGGAAUAUUGGACAAUGGGGGCAACCCUGAUCCAGCCAUGCCGCGUGUGUGAAGAAGGCCCUCGGGUUGUAAAGCACUUUCAGUGAGGAAGAACGCCUGGUGGUUAAUACCCAUCAGGAAAGACAUCACUCACAGAAGAAGCACCGGCUAACUCCGUGCCAGCAGCCGCGGUAAUACGGAGGGUGCGAGCGUUAAUCGGAAUUACUGGGCGUAAAGCGCGCGUAGGUGGCUUGAUAAGCCGGUUGUGAAAGCCCCGGGCUCAACCUGGGAACGGCAUCCGGAACUGUCAAGCUAGAGUGCAGGAGAGGAAGGUAGAAUUCCCGGUGUAGCGGUGAAAUGCGUAGAGAUCGGGAGGAAUACCAGUGGCGAAGGCGGCCUUCUGGACUGACACUGACACUGAGGUGCGAAAGCGUGGGUAGCAAACAGGAUUAGAUACCCUAGUAGUC
RNAcentral lists this ribosomal RNA (465 nucleotides) under Vreelandella stevensii. RNAcentral's name for it is "partial 16S ribosomal RNA". It matches the Rfam family "Bacterial small subunit ribosomal RNA", at positions 338 to 795 of the family's 1533-position model. Lineage: Bacteria; Pseudomonadati; Pseudomonadota; Gammaproteobacteria; Oceanospirillales; Halomonadaceae. The record is from RNAcentral.